This 176-nucleotide ribosomal RNA is filed under the name uncultured bacterium. RNAcentral describes it as "partial 16S ribosomal RNA". It matches the Rfam family "Bacterial small subunit ribosomal RNA", at positions 254 to 427 of the family's 1533-position model. The record is from RNAcentral.
GGGGUAAUAGGCCUACCAAGGCAACGAUACGGUAGCCGGCCUGAGAGGGUGAACGGCCACAUUGGGACUGAGACACGGCCAGACUCCUACGGGAGGCAGCAGUGGGGAAUNAUGGGCAAUUGGGGGAAACCCUGACCCAGCGACGCCGCGUGGAGGAUGAAGGCCCUCGGGUUGUA